RNAcentral lists this ribosomal RNA (397 nucleotides) under uncultured bacterium. Its description in RNAcentral is "bacterial SSU rRNA". It matches the Rfam family "Bacterial small subunit ribosomal RNA", at positions 29 to 412 of the family's 1533-position model. The record is from RNAcentral.
AACGAACGCUGGCGGCGUGGAUAAGACAUGCAAGUCGAACGGGAUUAUUUUUGUAGCAAUACAGAAAUAAUUCAGUGGCGAACGGGUGCGUAACACGUGGGCAAUCUGCCGAAAAGUGGGGGAUAGCUCGCCGAAAGGCGAAUUAAUACCGCAUGUGGUGAGGGACGACAUCUUCCUGAAUCCAAAGCCGGGGCAACCUGGCGCUUUUUGAGGAGCCCGCGGCCUAUCAGCUAGUUGGUGAGGUAACGGCCCACCAAGGCUAUGACGGGUAGCUGGUCUGAGAGGACGACCAGUCACACUGGAACUGAGACACGGUCCAGACACCUACGGGUGGCAGCAGUCGAGAAUUUUUCUCAAGUGGGGAACCCUGAAGGAGCGACGCCGCGUGGAGGAUGAA